AACGAACGCUGGCGGCAGGCCUAACACAUGCAAGUCGAGCGCGCCCUUCGGGGUGAGCGGCGGACGGGUGAGUAACGCGUGGGAACGUGCCCUUUUCUACGGAAUAGCCUCGGGAAACUGAGAGUAAUACCGUAUACGCCCUUUGGGGGAAAGAUUUAUCGGAAAAGGAUCGGCCCGCGUUGGAUUAGGUAGUUGGUGGGGUAAUGGCCUACCAAGCCGACGAUCCAUAGCUGGGUUGAGAGGAUGAUCAGCCACACUGGGACUGAGACACGGCCCAGACUCCUACGGGAGGCAGCAGUGGGGAAUCUUAGACAAUGGGGGCAACGCUGAUCUAGCCAUGCCGCGUGAGUGAUGAAGGCCUUAGGGUUGUAAAGCUCUUUCAGCUGGGAAGAUAAUGACGGUACCAGCAGAAGAAGCCCCGGCUAACUCCGUG
This 433-nucleotide ribosomal RNA is filed under the name uncultured bacterium. Its description in RNAcentral is "partial 16S ribosomal RNA". It matches the Rfam family "Bacterial small subunit ribosomal RNA", at positions 29 to 507 of the family's 1533-position model. The record is from RNAcentral.